AUGACCACGCGCGCGACGCAACGCCCUGGCGUCUUCCUGCUCCUCGCUGCCGUCCUUCUCACGGUUGCGGUACAGCCAGCGGCGGCGACGCUGCACCCGGUGGACUACCUGGCGCUGCAGGCCGUUCGGCGCGCGCUCACCGACCUGCCGGGCUCCGGCUUCUUCGCUUCGUGGGACUUCACCGGAGACCCCUGCGGCUUCGCCGGGGUCUCCUGCUCCGGCGAUGGCCGGGUCGUCACGCUGGCCCUAGGGGACCCGCGCGCCGGCGCACCGGGCCUCUCGGGCGCAUUCCCCUCCGCGGCGCUCGCGCGUCUCUCCGCGCUCAGCUCGCUCUCGCUCGUCCCCGGCCGCGUUUCCGGGGGGUUAUCCUCCGCCGUCGCGGCGCUCCCGUCGCUCCGCUCCCCAUUCUCCCCUGCUCUUCGGACGGUUGAUCUCAGCAAGAACUCCUUCUCCGGCAGGAUACCCUCGUCACUGCUACAAAUCAGGAGUCUCCGAACGCUCGUCCUCUCCCACAACUCCCUCUCCGGCGAGAUCCCCAAGACAGUGAGUUCGCCGCUGGUCCACCUCGACCUCAGGAACAAUCGCCUAUCCGGCGGCGUCCCGCCGCUCCCGGUGACGGUCGUGUACCUCAGUCUCGCCGGGAACAGGCUCUCCGGCCGCGUGGGCGGCGUCCUUCGCAGACUGACGAGGCUGUCGUUUCUUGACCUCGGCGGGAACUGGUUCUCCGGCGAGGAGCCUGGAGAAGUCUUCUCGUUCCGGAUUGGGUACCUGCAGCUGCGCAAGAAUGCCUUCUCUGACGAGCUCCGGCCGGCGGGGCGGUUGCCGUCGGGCUCCACGGUGGACCUCAGCCACAACGCGCUAUCCGGGCGGGUGCCGGCGGAGCUGGCGAGCGCGGCUGCAGUGUACCUGAACGGGAACAAGUUUGCUGGCGCGGUGCCGGCGGAGAUUGUGGCGGCGGCGGAGGGCGGGCGCAUGCGGGUGCUCUUCCUUCAAGAUAACUUCCUGACCGGCAUCAGCGUGCGCGGCCUGCCGUCGAGCGCGCCGGUAUGUGCACACUGGAACUGUGUUGCGCCGCCGCCGACCGUGGUGGCCGCGUGCCCGGCCAAGGGCGGCAGGGGGCGGCGCCGGCCGCCGGCUCAGUGCGGCGGGAGGAGGGGGUAA
This 1161-nucleotide ribosomal RNA is filed under the name Triticum aestivum (bread wheat). Its description in RNAcentral is "partial small subunit ribosomal RNA". Lineage: Eukaryota; Viridiplantae; Streptophyta; Magnoliopsida; Poales; Poaceae. The record is from RNAcentral.